UCUUUCCCUGUUCUGACCCAAGCCAUCCCCCCCCCCCAUUCUCCUUCUUCCCUACCCCCUCUCCCCCCAAACUUGCUCUGUGCCAAGAGGUCUCCAGUGACAGAGCAGGAUCACAGAGGUGAACGAUCACUGCAAGCAAUCAUGAUUCACUGAAAUAACCGGAAGGGGGUAGGAUGGAAGACAGGUGGGGAAGUGGAACCAAACGAUUGUGAGAGCUUUCAACCAGCUUGCCUGCUCCUUCUACUUGUCCCAUCAAGAGACAAAUAAUGGGACAUUAACCCACAAAAAUCAGUAGCUUUUCUGUUGUCAACAAUGAGAAGAACAAGACUGAAAUCAGGAAAGCAACUCCAUUUGCAAUAGCCUCAAAAAAAUACCUAGUAAUGAACUUAACCAGAGAUGUGAACAACCUCUAUGAUGAAAACUUUAAAAAUCUGAAAAAGGAAAUAAAGCAGAUUUAAGGAAAUGGAAAAACCUUCUGGAC
Dipodomys ordii (Ord's kangaroo rat) is the source of this 481-nucleotide long non-coding RNA. RefSeq lists it as uncharacterized. The transcript is spliced from 3 exons. NCBI's taxonomy places the organism in Eukaryota, Metazoa, Chordata, Mammalia, Rodentia, Heteromyidae. The record is from RefSeq and is a predicted model, not a curated record.